Trifolium pratense (red clover) is the source of this 1393-nucleotide long non-coding RNA. RefSeq lists it as uncharacterized. Lineage: Eukaryota; Viridiplantae; Streptophyta; Magnoliopsida; Fabales; Fabaceae. The transcript has 8 exons. The record is from RefSeq and is a predicted model, not a curated record.
AUGAUUUUUUUUUAUUUGAAUGGAAAUUAUUAUAAUCUUCUCUCAUCAGCUUCACACACGAAAAAAAAAAAACUUCUCUCAUCAGCUUCACGCACGCAAAGACCAAACCGAACCCUAGCUUUCAAUUCACCAAAUCGAUCGAACUCGUUCAAGAAAUCUUCUCUGUUUCAGCAAAUCGUUCACCCUCUCACUCGAUGGAACUCGUUCUCUCUCUCUCUCUCUCUCAUUCUCUCGAACCCUACCCUCCGAUCUGUUUCACCGAAUCACAAAUUCCAAUCCCUAAUUGAAGAAUCAAGGCUUACUGAACCCAAAUCGAAGCUCAGUGAAACGAAUCGAAGCUCUCUCAGCUCGUUCCGCUCCCUCCGACCGAAAACACAAACAGGAAAUGCAGAGCCAUGUUGGAUGAAACCGAACCGGCUGAAACCGGAACUGACUUAUGAACCGAUAUGGCUAAAAUCGAUAUAGGAAGAAGCCCGCGAGAUCCUUAUGCGCGAGUGUUACAAAGGUCUAGAUGACUAUAUCAACCUAAGUGGGUUUACUGGCCAAAAGGAACCGUGUUUAUUUCUUCGGUAGAAACUCAGAAGAUAGCCUAUGUUGUUGAUGCAUAUGCCUCUUAUGGGAGGUCUGAUGCUUUGAAUGGAAAGUCAUUGUGAAAAAAAAAAUUAUGCAAAGGACAAGCAUGAUGUUGUCUAGUUUUGGCUGGAGAAAGGCAAGCUCCAUGAGUAUCUUGUGUGCACACAUUAUUUUGAUGGAAGUUGAACAUCUUAUUUAGAAUUUUUAUUGUUACUGGCCAACAUGAUUAAUUUGGAGUUAAGUGUCAUGAUAUUUAAAGUUAGUAAUAUCCAUUACGAUGCCAAUGUGGAUGGAUGGCGGGAUCUUGAUUGGAGUAGCAAGGCCAUACAUAUUGCUGCUAGAAACCAAACAAAGUGGUCACAUUAGGUUGCUAAGUAGUCUUUGUUUACCCUUCAGAAAUGGUAGAAAAAUAGGUUGAGAUUGUAAGGGAAGAAGGAUUGAAGAUAUCUCAACCAGCUCUUGAUCCAAAUUCGACAGAGAUACAUCAUAGAAUUACAGUUAGAGCUAGGACCAACAAAGUGCAUAGGUGUUCAAUGAUCUCACGACAUUAACAGAGGAGGAGCUGUAUGAUUUGCGAGACCGCUGGGCAACUUGUUUUCUUGACCUAUAUAAUCCUGAGGUAGAUUAUGAUGAUGCCGACGAGAAAGAUUAGGAGCUAGCUAGGUUUGUGUGAAGUUACAAUGGACUACUUAUGAUGAUGUUUUAAUUUGUAUUUUGGAUGGAUUAGUAUUAAUUAUUAUGAUGUUUUGUAUUUUGGAUUUCAAUGUUUGUACUUUAAUGACAUUAUUACUAUAUAUAUGUUGAAUGUUGAAUUUGGCUA